This 562-nucleotide ribosomal RNA is filed under the name Alexandrium tamarense. RNAcentral's name for it is "LSU rRNA". It matches the Rfam family "Eukaryotic large subunit ribosomal RNA", at positions 73 to 661 of the family's 3401-position model. Lineage: Eukaryota; Dinophyceae; Gonyaulacales; Pyrocystaceae. The record is from RNAcentral.
GAUCUCUUCAGUAAUUGCGCAUGAACCAGGAUAUGCUUAGCUUGACAAAUGGAGCUGCUGGCUCUGAAUUGUAUUGUGGGAAUGUAUUACCAACAGAGGUGCAGGUCACACUCCUUGGCAUUGGAAUGCAAAGUGGGUGGUAAGUUUCAUGCAAAGGUAAAUAUGCAAUUGAGACUGAUAGCGCACAAGUACCAUGAGGGACAUAUGAAAAGGACUUUGAAAAGAGAAUUAAAUGAGUUUGUAUUUGCUAAACACAAAGUAAACAGACUUGAUUUCCUCAGUGAGAUUGUAGUGCUUGCUUAACAAUGGGUUUUGGCUGCAAGUGCAAUAAUUCUUGCUUUGUGUGCCCGUUUUUAUGUGGACAUUUGAUUACCUUUGCACAUGAAUGGUAAUUUUCCUGCGGGGUGUGGAUUGCAUAUGCAUGUAAUGAUUUGCAUGUUUGUUAAAUGUGUCUGGUGUAUUUGUUUGUGUCCUUGUCCUUGAGGUUGCUUUCUCCCUUGGGCUUACAUGCCCUGGCACACACAUUCUGGCAAAAUGCUUCUGCUUGACCCGUCUUGAAAAU